GGAUCCUCUACCGGCUUUUGGAGUCAGUGCUGCCGCCGCUGCCCGCGGCUUUGCAGAGCAGGAUGAAUGUGAUAGACCACGUGCGGGACAUGGCGGCCGCGGGGCUGCACUCCAACGUGCGGCUCCUAAGCAGCUUGUUACUUACAAUGAGCAAUAACAACCCUGAGUUAUUCUCCCCAUCUCAGAAGUACCAACUUUUGGUGUAUCAUGCAGAUUCUCUCUUUCAUGAUAAGGAAUAUCGGAAUGCCGUGAGUAAGUAUACCAUGGCUUUACAGCAGAAGAAAGCACUAAGUAAAACUUCAAAAGUGAGACCUUCAACUGGAAAUUCUGCAUCUACUCCACAAAGUCAGUGUCUUCCAUCUGAAAUUGAAGUGAAAUACAAAAUGGCUGAAUGUUACACAAUGCUAAAACAAGAUAAAGAUGCCAUUGCUAUACUUGAUGGGAUCCCUUCAAGACAAAGAACUCCCAAAGCUUGUUGUCCCUUUCUGUAAAAGGGGCAGAGGUGGCAUCCAUGACAAUGAAUGUGAUCCAAACCGUGCCUAACUUGGACUGGCUCUCUGUGUGGAUCAAAGCGUAUGCUUUUGUGCACACUGGUGACAACUCAAGAGCAAUCAAUACCAUCUGGUGAGAGCCACAAAGUUAAUUCAGUGUUCUUGAGGCCCUUUGCUUGUCUGGAAGUCUGAUGUAUCUGAAGUAGCAAAAAGAAAAAUGAGAUGCUUCUCUCUUGGUGCUGC
Molecule: small RNA, 734 nt
Filed under: Pongo abelii (Sumatran orangutan)
Lineage: Eukaryota; Metazoa; Chordata; Mammalia; Primates; Hominidae
Description: retained intron
Source: RNAcentral